Molecule: long non-coding RNA, 1464 nt
Organism: Macadamia integrifolia
Lineage: Eukaryota; Viridiplantae; Streptophyta; Magnoliopsida; Proteales; Proteaceae
Exons: 2
Source: RefSeq, a predicted model, not a curated record
AAGAACGUUGUAUUUCGUUCUUCUUCUGCAACCUUGUGCUUCUGCAACCUCAACUUGGUUCUUUUGCAACCUCUAAUCUUGUAAUUCAUUCUUAUUUUAAAAGCCUUCUGCAAAUCCAUGGUCACCGAUCUGACGAAGCUGAUGUGAACGCCGAGGCCACGAUGUUUACCAGAACAUUCAAGACACAUGAAGAUGCCAUAUGAUACCAAAGCCCACUAUGGUUUCUUCUGAGAGUCAGCCAUCGAUGUCCGAUCCUGGGGAGCGAUUCUCUCUGAACCGACCAUGACUUUGGGGUUGGAUUACAGAUUCACUCAUUCUCUGUGUUCUGGAGACCUCGCACGAGCUCUCCUCUCUGCCUCACCUCUCUCUCUCUGUUACCGCUCAUUCUUCCUCCUUCCAAUUUCAACUUCCAUCUUCCAUCUUCAAAAUUGCUUCUGCUUCCAAGGGUUUUCCUUCUCUCAUUCUCUUCCUCUGCAAAAAGAGAUUCUUCUUCCAGGGUUUUCCCUUCUCUUUGAAUUAUAGUAGUCUAAAUCGGAAGGGAGAAACAUAAGAGCUUCGACUGGUUCGAUUCGCAAGGAAGAAGGGAAAGAAAGAAAAAGAGAGAGAGAGAGAUGUAAUCUGAAAGUUGAAUCUCUCUCAAAAGAGAUUUAUUUUCAAAGCUAUCUAAAGCUUUCUGUUCUUGCUCAAUGUGAGAUUUCAGCAAGCUCCAAUUAACUUAAUUGACUACCCUCCCAACCCAGUGUACUAUGGCGAUCGAUCUGCUCGGCCUUCAAGAGUUCUGGUCUCUGGAUGAGUCCCAGAAUUUUGUUUUCUCAUGAUCUACGCCACUCAGAUGUCGUUACCGUCAAAGAAUACCGUGCUUCUCUUUUGGAUUCAAUUUUGAUUUCGGUGUUACCGCAAGCUUCGAACGAGAACUAUCAUUUUCCGCUGAUGAGUUUUUCUUUGACGAACAAAUCCUUCCUUGUCAAAUUAGGGAGAAAACACAAACAAUACCUCCUUCGAAACAUACCAUCAAGCUAAGCCUCCUCUUCUUCAACCUCUGCCUCUACCUCUACCUCUGUUUCCUCCCCCUUUCCUCCCCCUUCUCGUACUGAUACUAUGAUGACAGCAGCAACGAUGUUGAUGACGAGUACAAAAACCCUAAAAUUGAAUCUGUAAUCAAACCCCUAACCGGUCCAGAUGAGAAACCGUGGUCGGUUCAGGAGUUUGUAAGCCAAAUAAGAAGUAUCCUUCUCACUCUAAAUCUGCACCGUCCACCUCAGCAAUGCGCUAAAGGGGUAAUAUGAUCUUUUAAUGUUUAAAAAUAACAUUAUACUCACACCAUCAAUGUUAGGGGAGGGGGCGUAAUUCAUGCAAACCCUUGGAUCCAUGUGUAAUUUUGACAAACUAUAAGGUAUGUGGCGUAAUUUUUUCUUAUUUUAUUUAUUUAUUUUAUUUAUUAUUAUGCAUAUGGUCCUUUAUUUC